CUCUUUUAUGGUGGUUACAUAAUCAAGUGUUUCUGUGAUUUUUAAAAAUAGGCUAUUAAAGUAUGGGUCUUGUGAAAACAAAAUAGAUCACAGAGGUAAUUAAAUUUAUAGGUGAGGCUUCACGUGUGGGGCAUUUGUAUGGGAUUUAUAACUGGAUCCUUGGACUCCAUUUCACACCAGCAGGAGCGCGAAGCUCCCUUCACACAAAUGCAUUUAUGUUUGAGGUUGAGGAUGGGCAGGAAGUAUGGAAGUCUAAAUUCUGAGUCCUUGGAUGGGUAAGGACACACUUGUCCUUUUGGAUACAUAGUGAGUUGUCCUUCAGGUGAAGCUUCCUGUACAAGGGGCAGGAUUCUCUAACACCAGCAGAGAGCAUGCUCCAGCUACUCUGCUCUUCCUCCUCCUCUGCACCCUUGCUUAUGAGAAAAUUCUCUUAGCUACCUUUCUGGAAGAAGACUAAGGCCCAGUCUCAAUGCAUCAAUGAACGUUGUUUCCUUUAUUUGCUUGAUUUGUUUGUAUCUUUUGCCCUUGGGAAAACUAUUGGGUGCAAGGCCAACAUCAUUCUACACUGAAUAAGAAUCAUCUUGAACUUGAGGCACUGUGGUUGAGACCACAUAUUGUUAUUGCAAGUGGUUUCCUGGGGCCAUUGGUUUGUAAAUUUUUUUUCAGGGUUGCCAUAAUAAAUUAUUACAAACUGGGUGGUUUGGAAUAAGGGAAAUCUGUCUUCAGGCAGUUCUGGAGGCCAGACAUCCCAGACCAAGGUGCUGGGGGGGUGUUUCUUCUGGAGGCUCUGAGGGAGAGUUCUCUUCCAGCCUUUCCCCGAGUUCCUUAGAUGAGGCGACUAAGCGCAGGCCUCAGCCUCUCUCAGUGCCUCUCCUUGGGUUCUGUUGUCUUGUUCCCCUUCUCUUCUAAGGACACUGGUCACUGGACUUAUGGCCUACCCUCACCCACAGUGAUUUCAUCUGGAUCUCCUUCACUUAAUUUUCUCUGCAAAGACUCUUUUCCCAAAUAAAGUCCUAUAUCCACAUAAGGAGCACUAAAGAGUCUGGAUGGACAUACUUUUGGGGGACAUCAAUCAACAAACUACAGUUAUGUUCUACCAU
RNAcentral lists this long non-coding RNA (1100 nucleotides) under Marmota monax (woodchuck). The record is from RNAcentral. Lineage: Eukaryota; Metazoa; Chordata; Mammalia; Rodentia; Sciuridae.